GUUGAAAGUGACGGCAUCCUUGGAACUUUUUUUGGGUUUACAAUUUUGGCUUUGACUGUAAGGGAUCCAAACUGCUUCCAGGUUCAGAGGUGGGACUGUGGCAUUCUGGGGGAUGAUGAGAGGUAUUGACUUGACAAUAUCAACUCUUCCUCUGUCUGCAAGUGCCAUGAUGACAACAGUCAGGCUUGUGAUGAAUUUCUAUUGAACCAAAUUGUAAAGAAAGAUUGGAAUAUGGAAAAAAAAAAAAUGGUUGAGCUGGCCAUUGCUCCUGUUGUAAAUGGGGUUUUGGUAUUCAUGAGCUGAAAGAGAAACAACAAGAAGAGAGAGAAGUUCAGUGCAUGGU
Long non-coding RNA from Xiphias gladius (swordfish), 343 nucleotides. RefSeq lists it as uncharacterized. Lineage: Eukaryota; Metazoa; Chordata; Actinopteri; Istiophoriformes; Xiphiidae. The record is from RefSeq and is a predicted model, not a curated record. The transcript has 3 exons.